GACGAACCGUACGAACGUUAUUCGGAAUCACUGGGCUUAAAGGGUGCGUAGGCGGCGGCGCAAGUUGGGUGUGAAAUCCCUCGGCUCAACCGAGGAACUGCGCUCAAAACUGCGUCGCUUGAGGAAGAUAGAGGUGAGUGGAACUUAGGGUGGAGCGGUGAAAUGCGCUGAUAUCCUAAGGAACACCAGUGGCGAAAGCGACUCACUGGGUCUUCUCUGACGCUGAGGCACGAAAGCUAGGGUAGCGAACGGG
Molecule: ribosomal RNA, 253 nt
Filed under: uncultured bacterium
Lineage: Bacteria
Description: partial 16S ribosomal RNA
Rfam family: Bacterial small subunit ribosomal RNA
Source: RNAcentral